This 406-nucleotide ribosomal RNA is filed under the name uncultured bacterium. RNAcentral describes it as "partial 16S ribosomal RNA". It matches the Rfam family "Bacterial small subunit ribosomal RNA", at positions 30 to 526 of the family's 1533-position model. The record is from RNAcentral.
AUCGAACGCUGGCGGCAGGCCUAACACAUGCAAGUCGAACGAGUGGCGGACGGGUGAGUAAUGGCUGGGAAAAUGCCUGAUGGAGGGGGAUAACUACUGGAAAUGGUAGCUAAUAACGCAUAAUAAAGGAUCUGCCGAUCUGGGAUUAGCUAGUAGGGGGUGUAACGGCUUACCUAGGCAAGGAUCCCUAGGUGGUCUGAGAGGAUGACCAGCCACACUGGAACUGAGACACGGUCCAGACUUCUACGGGAGGCAGCAGUGGGGAAUAUUGCACAAUGGGCGAAAGCCUGAUGCAGCCAUGCCGCGUGUAUGAAGAAGGCCUUCGGGUUGUAAAGUACUUUCAGCGGUGAGGCGGUACCCGAAGAAGAAGCACCGGCUAACUCCGUGCCAGCAGCCGCGGUAAUAC